Ribosomal RNA from Pteropus vampyrus (large flying fox), 121 nucleotides. Lineage: Eukaryota; Metazoa; Chordata; Mammalia; Chiroptera; Pteropodidae. The record is from Ensembl.
GUCUAUGGCCAUGACAUCCUGAACGUGCCCGAUCCCAUCUGAUCUCGGAAGCUAAGCAGGGUCGCGCCUGGCGAGUACUUGGAUGGGAGACCACCUAGGAAGAUCAGGCAAAAAGUGGGCG